UACGGGGGGAGCAAGCGUUGUUCGGAUUUACUGGCGUAAAGGGCGCGUAGGCGGCACCGCAAGUCGACUGUGAAAUCUCCGGGCUUAACUCGGAAAGGUCAGCCGAUACUGCGGGGCUAGAGUGCAGAAGGGGCAACUGGAAUUCUCGGUGUAGCGGUGAAAUGCGUAGAUAUCGAGAGGAACACCUGCGGCGAAGGCGGGUUGCUGGGCUGACACUGACGCUGAUGCGCGAAAGCUAGGGGAGCGAAGCGG
RNAcentral lists this ribosomal RNA (252 nucleotides) under uncultured bacterium. RNAcentral's name for it is "partial 16S ribosomal RNA". It matches the Rfam family "Bacterial small subunit ribosomal RNA", at positions 524 to 776 of the family's 1533-position model. The record is from RNAcentral.